Molecule: ribosomal RNA, 478 nt
Filed under: uncultured Flavobacteriaceae bacterium
Lineage: Bacteria; Pseudomonadati; Bacteroidota; Flavobacteriia; Flavobacteriales; Flavobacteriaceae
Description: bacterial SSU rRNA
Rfam family: Bacterial small subunit ribosomal RNA
Source: RNAcentral
GAUGAACGCUAGCGGCAGGCUUAACACAUGCAAGUCGAGGGGUAUAUUGUUUUCGGACAAUAGAGACCGGCGCACGGGUGCGUAACGCGUAUGAAAUCUACCUUAUACAGGGGUAUAGCCCGGAGAAAUCCGGAUUAAUCCCCCAUGGUAUUGACACAGGGCAUCCUGUAUCAAUUAAAGCUUCGGCGGUAUAAGAUGAUCAUGCGUCUUAUUAGCUGGUUGGUAUGGUAACGGCAUACCAAGGCAACGAUAAGUAGGGGUCCUGAGAGGGAGACCCCCCACACUGGUACUGAGACACGGACCAGACUCCUACGGGAGGCAGCAGUGAGGAAUAUUGGACAAUGGGCGAGAGCCUGAUCCAGCCAUGCCGCGUGCAGGAUGACGGCCUUAUGGGUUGUAAACUGCUUUUCUAAAGGAAGAAUAAUACCGAUUCUUCGGUAGAUGACGGUACUUUAGGAAUAAGCAUCGGCUAACUCCG